CCGGACCGGCGCACGGGUGAGUAACACGUAUGCAAUCCACCUGUAACAGGGGGAGUAACCCGGACGAAAUACCGGACUAAUACCCACUAAUAUGGGCUCUCCGCAUGGAGGGUCCGAUUAAAGAGAGCAAUUUUGGUUACAGACGAGCAUGCGCUCCAUUAGCCAGUUGGCGGGGUAACGGCCCACCAAAGCGACGAUGGAUAGGGGUUCUGAGAGGAAGGUCCCCCACAUUGGAACUGAGACACGGUCCAA
RNAcentral lists this ribosomal RNA (252 nucleotides) under uncultured bacterium. Its description in RNAcentral is "partial 16S ribosomal RNA". It matches the Rfam family "Bacterial small subunit ribosomal RNA", at positions 90 to 334 of the family's 1533-position model. The record is from RNAcentral.